CUACGUGCCAGCAGCCGCGGUAAUACGGAAGGUCCGGGCGUUAUCCGGAUUUAUUGGGUUUAAAGGGAGCGUAGGCUGGAGAUUAAGUGUGUUGUGAAAUGUAGACGCUCAACGUCUGACUUGCAGCGCAUACUGGUUUCCUUGAGUACGCACAACGUUGGCGGAAUUCGUCGUGUAGCGGUGAAAUGCUUAGAUAUGACGAAGAACUCCGAUUGCGAAGGCAGCUGACGGGAGCGCAACUGACGCUGAAGCUCGAAGGUGCGGGUAUCGAACAGGAUUAGAUACCCUGGUAGUCCGCACAGUAAACGAUGGAUGCCCGCUGUUGGUACGUGGUAUCAGCGGYUAAGCGAAAGCAUUAAGCAUCCACCUGGGGAGUACGCCGGCAACGGUGAAACUCAAAGGAAUUGACGGGGGCCCGCACAAGCGGAGGAACAUGUGGUUUAAUUCGAUGAUACGCGAGGAACCUUACCCGGGAU
RNAcentral lists this ribosomal RNA (476 nucleotides) under uncultured bacterium. RNAcentral describes it as "bacterial SSU rRNA". It matches the Rfam family "Bacterial small subunit ribosomal RNA", at positions 501 to 981 of the family's 1533-position model. The record is from RNAcentral.